ACGUGCAAUUUCGAAUACGACACGUGCGGAUGGCAGUUGCACAACUGGGAACGUGUGACGCCACAAAGCGUAAGCCUGCCUAGUGCUGAUCACAGCACUAGGUCACCCUCAGGAAACUUCGCCCUGCUAAAGGCUCCCGGUGGCCGCAUGGUUAGCCCCCUGAAUUGGUACGACGUCACUAAGCACAAGUGUCUCCGAUUCUGGUUCUUUAUCUCGGGCACAUCGAGGGAAACACUGAACGUCACCAGUGUGGUGGACGAAGAUCAGGAGGAGUCUCUUUGGUACGGCACCACAUCUGAUGCUUUGAAGCAGCAGUGGUUCUCAGCCUCAGUUAACCUGCCUGCU
Long non-coding RNA from Rhipicephalus sanguineus (brown dog tick), 345 nucleotides. RefSeq lists it as uncharacterized. The record is from RefSeq and is a predicted model, not a curated record. NCBI's taxonomy places the organism in Eukaryota, Metazoa, Arthropoda, Arachnida, Ixodida, Ixodidae. The transcript has 2 exons.